GGGAAAGGCUGAGGGAUCAGAUGAUGGGGGAAGGUGUCUCCACACCGGCUGUACCUACCUCUCCGCACUGGGCCCGGGCAGGGUUUAUGGUGUAGAAGUGUCGGCGUCGGCGCAAUGUACUAAGGAAUCGCCGCGAGUAUUUCGGACGCCGGUGGAGUCGCCGCUCAGGACUGGAACCCUUUUGCUUAUUAUUUCUGCGCUUCAGCGAAUCCCAAAAAAGAGGAAUUUUAUGUUUAUGGGGAGACGUCGCGGGAAGCGGAGCCCGAGGGGGAGGAGCCCCGGGUACAAUAAAAUCCACACAGACAUGGGGAGAAUAAAAAAAUAGACUCCAGACAGAUUGUGACUGAAACCCAAGGUCCUACAAAAAAAUGUGAAAGAACCUAUAGAUCCAACAUUGAUUGUAUCCUGGUCAGAAUCGAACCCAAGGCUUCACACCAACACAUGGAAAACUGAACAACUUCUCAUGGAUUCUGGUUUGAACUGAACCCAAGGCCCUUGGGAGGAUACACAGACCCCGGUGAGUCUCAAACCUACCACAUCGGCAGCCAUGCUGGUCUUCUUCUUCCUUCUGCUCUUCAGGUUUUUACUACUAUUUUUUAAUUUUGCCCAAAAAUGUUUCUGCCUCCAUGCAAUAAAGGAAUAUUUUUUUUUUU
Xenopus tropicalis (tropical clawed frog) is the source of this 653-nucleotide long non-coding RNA. RefSeq lists it as uncharacterized. NCBI's taxonomy places the organism in Eukaryota, Metazoa, Chordata, Amphibia, Anura, Pipidae. The transcript is spliced from 3 exons. The record is from RefSeq and is a predicted model, not a curated record.